RNAcentral lists this non-coding RNA (25 nucleotides) under Mus musculus (house mouse). The record is from RNAcentral. Lineage: Eukaryota; Metazoa; Chordata; Mammalia; Rodentia; Muridae.
UGAAUCAGCACAGAUCUUGGGCCAG